ACAAGUACCGUGAGGGAAAGUUGAAAAGCACUUUGAAGAGAGAGUUAAAGAGGACGUGAAACCGAUAAGAAGGAAACGGAUAGAGUCAACGUAUCUAGCUUGUAUUCAGCUGCCGCCUAUAGCCAAUCGCAUUGUUCCGUUCGCGUCGUCUGGCGUCGGAUGGACGGUGUGGCAAGUGGGCGUUUGGUGGUAGUGCAUUUGCAAGUGGAGUGCGCUGAGACUUGUCGCCCGGUGGUUGACUACCCAUCAAGAGGCCACACCUUCGCGGGUGUGUAACCCAGUUGGGAGUAAAGCUAUCCCCGCUUCAUGUACUCGAUCGUGGUUGAGGUUGGUCGGCGUUGGCUGGGCCACUUGUAACGGUCGCAUGCGACACGUGCUUGUGUGUUCGGUCGAUGUUGGCUGGUCUUUCGCGGUCGCUCUCGGUGUAAAAGUUGGUCAUCUAUCCGACCCGUCUUGAAACACGGACCAAGGAGUUUAGCGUGUACGCGAGUCAUUGGGUGUGUUGAAAACCCAAAGGCGCAAUGAAAGUGAACAGAAAUGGAUAUGCGAUCGAGUGUACUUCGGUGCGCCCGAGCAGCAUUGCCCCGUCCCAAUCGCUUGCGAUGGGGCGGAGGUAGAGCGUAUUCGCUGAGACCCGAAAGAUGGUGAACUAUUCCUGAGCAGGACGAAGCCAGAGGAAACUCUGGUGGAAGUCCGAAGCGGUUCUGACGUGCAAAUCGAUCGUCUGACUUGGGUAUAGGGGCGAAAGACUAAUCGAACCAUCUAGUAGCUGGUUCCUUCCGA
RNAcentral lists this ribosomal RNA (783 nucleotides) under Basiria sp. fafu08. RNAcentral describes it as "partial large subunit ribosomal RNA". It matches the Rfam family "Eukaryotic large subunit ribosomal RNA", at positions 344 to 964 of the family's 3401-position model. The record is from RNAcentral. Lineage: Eukaryota; Metazoa; Nematoda; Chromadorea; Rhabditida; Tylenchidae.